UCAGCAGCCGCGGUAAUACGAAAGGUGCAAGCGUUACUCGGAAUCACUGGGCGUAAAGCGCACGUAGGCGGACUCGUAGGUCAAUUGUGAAAUACCUGGGCUCAACCCGGGAACUGCAGUUGAAACCGCUUGUCUUGAAUACCUGAGAGGGUGGGGGAAUACCUGGUGGAGAAGUGAAAUUCGUAGAGAUCAGGUGGAACACCGGAGGCGAAGGCGCCUGCCUGGCAGUGUAUUGACGCUGAGGUGCGAAAGUGCGGGGAGCAAACAGGAUUAGAUACCCUGGUAGUCCGCACCGUAAACGAUGGAUACUAGGCGUUCGGAGAGUUAACCCUCUGAGUGCCAAAGUUCACACAUUAAGUAUCCCGCCUGGGAAGUACGGUCGCAAGACUAAAACUCAAAGGAAUUGACGGGGGCCCGCACAAGC
Molecule: ribosomal RNA, 424 nt
Filed under: uncultured bacterium
Lineage: Bacteria
Description: bacterial SSU rRNA
Rfam family: Bacterial small subunit ribosomal RNA
Source: RNAcentral